This is a long non-coding RNA of Gorilla gorilla gorilla (western lowland gorilla), 4992 nucleotides long. RefSeq lists it as uncharacterized. The record is from RefSeq and is a predicted model, not a curated record. The transcript has 2 exons. NCBI's taxonomy places the organism in Eukaryota, Metazoa, Chordata, Mammalia, Primates, Hominidae.
GCCAUCCCCUGGCCCUGGCUGACUCGCCACCCCCGACACUGCAGCGCCUGCCGGCCUCGGGGCCCCGCCCUCUGCCUUCGCUCGCGCCGCUCUCCUUCAGUCUCCCCAGGGCCUGUUUCAUGGAUAGGGUCCCCUUGCCCGCGUGAAAGUCUCCUUCCUCCUCAGCUCAGAAACACUCCAAGGUCUCGGCGCCCUAUACUGGCCUUCCCUCAUCCGAAUACCCCUCGUGCCCCUGAUGUACUUUUCCAUUCCCACUCCCUACUCUGGCAGUCUAGCUUCUAAGCUGAGGAGUUUGGCCUUCGCUCCAGGUGCGGGGACUCGUGGAAGGAUUUGAUUCGCGCUUUAGAAACAUCGCUCCGCUCCUGUAAGGAAGAGAGCGUGUAGGGGCUGCAACCAGAGACACAGUCAGAAGCUCCGAGGCUACCGCGAUGGCCCAGGUGCCACAGGACACAGCCUAACAGAGGCCCAGGUUGGAGCCAUGGACCAUGGAGUCAUGAGAAUGGAAGGGAAGCUAACGCCAUGUGGGAUGGGGUAGAACUGUCCGCAAAUUCGUCCCGCCUCUGGAGUCUUCAGCCCAGUCAAGGCCGAAAUUCAACCAAGCCUCUCCUCUCUCUAGCUGUUAUUUGUUUGCAGCACGUGGUCUGGUGGCACCCUGCAGGAUUUACCAGCUUUUUGCCAACAUUCUGGCCUAUGCAAUCAAUACGUCCCUUCAGCGUUGCACUUGGAUGGAUUGGACCUAUAGUUGUUAUAUAUGGAUAUUGUCUAAUUUAUUUAUUACAGUAUUAACUGACUCCUAUGUUCUGGCCUUCAGAAUUUCUCCUUUGGAUCAAUUACUAGCCUGUCUUACAUUUUCUGCUUCAUUCUUUUAAAAUGUUAAGAGAUGAUUUGCUAACUUCUAAGUUUUCUUCAUUGCUGUCAAUGAUGCAAUUUAAACUGUCAAAAAAUUUUUUUCUCAAGCAGGGUAGUAAUGGUGAACCAUUCCCUUGCUAUUCAGACAGCAUGGUUUAGAUGAGGCGCACCUAUCCCCAGCUCUAGGAAUGGAAACAGGACCCAAGUCUGGCUAAUCAGAGAUUGGUUUAGGGUCGGCCCCAUGGUCUGAGCCAGACCAAUGAGAAUUGGUAGAGGGACUUUUCUGGAACUAAAGAAAUGGAUCCUGGGUGGGCGUGGUGGUUCAUGCCUGUAAUUCCAGUACUUUGGGAGGCCGAGGCGGGUGGAUCAUCUGAGGUCAGGAGUUCGGGACCAGCCUGACCAACAUGGUGAAACCCCGUCUCUACUAAAAAUACAAAAUUAGCCGGGCGUGGUGGCGCAUGUCUCUAAUCCCAGCUACUCAGGAGGCGGAGGCAGGAGAAUCGCUUGAACCCGGAAGGCGGCAGUUGCAGUGAGCCAAGAUGGCGCCAUUGCACUCCAGCCUGGGCGACAGAGCGAAACUCCGUCUCAAAAAAAAAAAAAAAAGAAAUUGAUUUUUUUUUCUUUUGCAACUUCUAUUUUAGAAUCGGGGGUAUAUAUGCAGGCUUGUUACAGAGGUAUAUUGCAUGGUGCUGAGGUUUGGAGUAUGAACGAAUCCGUCCUUCAGGUAAUGAGCAUAGUACCCAAUAGGUAGUUUCAACCCUUGCCCCCUUCCUCCUUCCCCAGUCUUUUAUUCCCCAGUGUCUGUUGUUCCCAGACAUUGAUCUUUUUCCGCUAUGUUGCUAAGCUGGUAGAAAGGCUGGAGUUGCUGGCAACCAUCUUUGCAACCAUGCAGGGAGAACUACUUUGGAAAUGAAGCAAGACAAAGAAGAAAACAGAUAAAAGGAGACAAAUGUUUGACUUUGUACAGCUGGAAACCAGCAAUGCUGGAAAUGAGCACUGAAGGCAGUUUAAUGGGUUUGUCACUUGUAACCAAGUGACCCACGGCAAGCUCACAGAUUUGUAUUGGCAGAAUUCCUCCUUCUCUUUAUUUAAAAUGGUACUUUUGGCCAGGCAAGGUGGUUCACACCUGUAAUCCAAAGACUUUGGGAGGCUGAGGCGCACUGAUCACCCAAGGUCAGAAGUUCGAGAACAUCCUGGCCAACAUUGGCGAAACCCCGUCUCUACUAAAAAUACAAACCAUUAGCUGGCUGCUGCGGCCUUUCUACCAGCUUUUUGUCUCCAAAAAAAAAAAAAGGUACUUUUGCUUAUCUCUAACCUUCCUCUUCCCCAUAAUUUAACAAUUGCCCAUACUGUUACUCUGAGCUACUCUCUGCCCCAUUCUCCUCCUCUUAUCUUCAGUUCCUCCUAGGCUGUCAGAGCCAUCUGAAAUGAAAACAUUUAGGCCGGGCAUAGUGGUUCAUGCCUGUAAUCCCAGCACUUUGGGAGGCUGAGGCAGGCGGAUCAGCUGAGGUCAGGAGUUCGAGACCACCCUGGCCAACAUGGUGAAACCCCAUCUCUACUAAAAAUACAAAAAUUAUCCAGACAUGGUGGCACAUGCCUCUACUCCCAGCUACUUGGGAGGCUGAGGCAGGAGAAUCGCUUGAACCUAGGAGGCAGGGGUUGCAGUUAGCCGAGAUUGAGCCACUGCACUCUAGCCUGGGCGACAGAGUGAGACUUUGUCUAAAAAACAUAAAUAAAAUAAAAUGAAAUGAAAACAUUUGCUACUUGAAAUCCUUCAGACUCCCCAUCACCUACCUACAGGCAAAACUCUCAAGUUCUUUUGUAUGAUUUAACCACUAUCUACCUGUCCAACUGAAAUCUACCCUUCAGUAAUAUUAUACUUGCACCUCCCUUCAUAAGCUAUGCUACAAGUUUGGUUAUGCAGUUGCCCACCUUUUAAGGUUCAAGCCUUGUCUUCUCCAAAGAGCCACCUCUGACUGCCUCACAGUAAGCUCAGGGCCCGCAACUUACCUGUAACUUUUGUUGCACUUAUGGCCUUUUACAACUAUCAAUUUAUGUAUGUGUCUGUUCUCACUGGUUUAUAAGCUCCCUGAGGACAGAGCCUUGCUUGAGUCAUCUGUCAGCAGCCCAAUAUGGGACAAAAAGUGCAUGCAUUGUGAUUACUGAACAGAACUGAUAGAGGCUAAGCAAUUUGCGCUCCAUAGGUCUAAGUUUGAACUUUUCUAGAAAAGGAUUUGCAGGACGAUCUGACCAAUCUUGGGCUUCCAAUUAGUUCCAACAGUUCUAGUAUUUUUUUUUUUUGACAGAAGCAAAUAAGUAAGUUUUACUUUGUGAUUAAAACAAAAGUGAAAUGCAUUUAGUCCCAGGAAAUGUCAAUCCUUUCUGCAUCUUACUUUUUUUUGCUGUGACCUCGAGAUUCUCUUGUUCUCUUCAGUUGUAUUGGUCCAUGAUCACUCAUAGCUUUCAUAUACAUAUAUACAUCUGAAACUCAGAAAAUUCAUUAGGUAGGAACUCUUUGGAUGCAUCUCCUUUUUUAACCUCAUUGGGAUGAUUUUUCGUUGCACCAUCAUUUUAUAGAGCUUCCUAGCACUGCUGAGCAUGCAGAAUUUUUGCAAAUGCAAUCCAGAGAAACAGACUUGCUAUAUACUAGCUAUUUGAACUUGUCUGAGCUUAUGUGGCAUGGUCUAAAGAAUACCGAAAUAUUUCUGGCAUACCUCUUAAUUGCAGUCACUUUCUCCAGGUUGCUUUAUGGAUUAAAUGAGAUAACCUACUAAACGACUCCAGUAAAAAGCUAAAAAGGUAGCUAGCUUUUGAGGUGUUGUGGCAGACUGGCAUCUAGUGGCCAGCGAUAAAGGUGCAGACUAGUGUCCACACCUAAGUGGGGACAGUGCAGGCUGUAAUGUCCAUACCUAGUGGGGACAUCAGUGGGGUAUUUGUCAGAGAAGCUCCAUGGCAUAGUUUGGACAUUGUUUCUGGCUGUGCAGGUUCAAACCCAGAGUCUGGAUCUCCCAAAGAUUAUCUGAGUUAUUCUAUUAUUUUACAAAGUUUGAAAUAGCCAUUAGAUACCCUUACAAACUUAUCAUUUUUGUGAUUGAUUUUAAGCCUACUGAAAAUGUCAAAAGAAAUCCAAAACUGAUUGCUAGUAACUAGGCCAGGUGUGGUGGCUCACACCUGUAAUCCCAGCACUUUGGGGCCGGGGCAGGCGGAUUGCUUGAGCUCAGGAGUUCGAGACCAGCCUGGGCAACAUGGCAAAACUCCAUAUUUACAAAAAAUACAAAAAAUUAGCCGGGCAUGAUGGUGCGUGCCUGUUGUCCCAGCUACUAGGAAGGCUCAGAUAGAAGGAUCACUUGAGCCUGGGAGGCGGAGGUUGCAGUGAGCCAAGACUGUGCCACUGCACUCCAACCUGGGCAACAGAGACCCCAGCUCAAAAAAAUAAAAUUAGUGUUAACUUGUACUGUUUAGCCACAUUCAUUAAGUUUUUAAUUUUAACUCUAAUAUCGCACAACCAGGAAUGUACAAGAGAUCUGGAGCCUGAUUUGCAUGGCAGGAAGGAGACCACGUAUUUUUGUUUGGGAUGGGUUUUAGCCACUAUCAGAGACAUAGUUUGUUUCUUAGGGGUUCGGUCCCAGUAGUAUGAUACUUAGUUCAUUUAGGAACUUCCUUUUUUAACGGCUAAGAAAACAUUUUAGCUACUAAAUGAUAUGCAAAGAUAACUUUCCAAAUUUAAGCUGUACUCAAAAAUCCACAGAAUCUGCAAAACUCUCAAGUUUCUAUAUUUAAAUAGAAAUGUGUGUUGAUAUACAUACUUUAAUCAGUCAUUUCUUGCUUUCAAUAUAUUUUAUUCUGACGAAGUUACAAAAGUAGAUACAAAAUACUUUUUUUAGAAGUACAGUUAACUGACUUAGAAAAAUAGAUAAAGCCCCUAAGGAUAUUAAAACACAACAUAAAUUUUUAUGUAAAGAACAUUUAAAAAUAUUUUAGAUGGUAACCAAAACUAACUUACACAAACUAUUUUUGAUGUAGAAUAGAAUGCUGUUCUAUAAUAAGAAGUCUGUAGCACACUGGUAAUCCAUUUGGAUCUACAGAAUACUUGUUUGGAAUAGAAUCUGAUAAUGAGAGAAAACUCAAAUGAAUGUCAGUGCA